RNAcentral lists this ribosomal RNA (233 nucleotides) under Pelobates cultripes (western spadefoot toad). RNAcentral describes it as "SSU_rRNA_microsporidia". It matches the Rfam family "Eukaryotic small subunit ribosomal RNA", at positions 239 to 470 of the family's 1831-position model. The record is from RNAcentral. Lineage: Eukaryota; Metazoa; Chordata; Amphibia; Anura; Pelobatidae.
CAGCUUGUCAUGCUAGAGCACUUUUUCAAUGUGCUCCCCAACGAGAAGGCAACAACGCAUUCGUAUGUCAAUCCAUAUCAACUUUCGAUGCCAUUGACUGCGCUUACCAUGGUGACCACGGUUAACGGGGAAUCAGGGUUCCAUUCCGUACAGGGACCCUGACAAAUGGCUAUCACAUGCAAGGAAGGCAGCAGGCGCGCAUAUGACCCACUCCCGACGCGGGAACGUAGUGA